UACGAGUGCCUCGAGCGUUAUCCGGAAUCAUUGGGCGUAAAGGGUGUGUAGGCGGUUGUGUUAGUCUCGCGUAAAAUCUUUCGGCUCAACCGAGAGCUCGCGCGGGAAACGGCACGACUAAGAGGAUGGAAGGGGUCUGCGGAACUCAUGGUGUAGCGGUGAAAUGCGUUGAUAUCAUGGGGAACACCGAAAGCGAAGGCAGCAGACUGGUCCACUCCUGACGCUGAAACACGAAAGCGUGGGUCGCGAAUGGG
This 254-nucleotide ribosomal RNA is filed under the name uncultured bacterium. RNAcentral describes it as "partial 16S ribosomal RNA". It matches the Rfam family "Bacterial small subunit ribosomal RNA", at positions 524 to 776 of the family's 1533-position model. The record is from RNAcentral.